RNAcentral lists this ribosomal RNA (604 nucleotides) under uncultured Russulaceae. Its description in RNAcentral is "LSU rRNA". It matches the Rfam family "Eukaryotic large subunit ribosomal RNA", at positions 47 to 623 of the family's 3401-position model. The record is from RNAcentral. Lineage: Eukaryota; Fungi; Basidiomycota; Agaricomycetes; Russulales; Russulaceae.
UAAGCGGAGGAAAAGAAACUAACAAGGAUUCCCCUAGUAACUGCGAGUGAAGCGGGAAAAGCUCAAAUUUGGAAUCUGGUGGUCUUUGGCCAUCCGAGUUGUAAUUUAGAGAAGCGUCUUCCGCGCUGGNCCGUGCACAAGUCUCCUGGAAUGGAGCGUCAUAGAGGGUGAGAAUCCCGUCUUUGGCAUGGAAUCCCAGGGCUUCUGUGAUGCGCUCUCGACGAGUCGAGUUGUUUGGGAAUGCAGCUCAAAAUGGGUGGUGAACUCCAUCUAAAGUUAAAUAUUGGCGAGAGACCGAUAGCGAACAAGUACCGUGAGGGAAAGAUGAAAAGCACUUUGGAAAGAGAGUGAAACAGUACGUGAAAUUGUUGAAAGGGAAACGCUUGAAGUCAGUCGCGUCGACCGAGACUCAGCCUUGCCUCGGCUUGGUGUACUUCUCGGCUUGACGGGUCAGCAUCGAUUUCAAUCCUCGGAUAAUGGCAAGGGAAAGGUAGCACCUUUUUAGGUGUGUUAUAGUCCUCUGUCGCAUGCGAGGAUCGGGAUCGAGGAACUCAGCACGCACCUCAGGGUGUCGGGGCCUUGGCCCACGUUUACGUGCUUAGGA